UGUAGCUGUAGAAGGAGUCUGCUAUUGGAGAGAGCAGGAAGAAUGAGAUCCCAGGCAGCGUUUAAUAACAGAGGGCUAGAAAGAUGUCAGUACAGGAAGUGAAGAGUCAGAGAACAGCUGCAACAUCUGUUGAAUGCAAGGCUGCCUGGCCAACAGAAUGAGGAAGCUGUUUAGGAAGUAGAAGAGGAAAGAGCAGGAGAGAAACAGCGGUCCAGAGGGCAAAGAAAAGCCUCCCUCAUCACCUUUCCACUGCUUGCUGUAUGGUUGUCCCCCUGCUAGACAGAGCAGCAGCCUCAUGACUCAGACAUCCUGUUCUUGCCUCUGCUUGGGCAAUGAGAAGCAACUGGAGUCCACCAGCCUGGAAGUGAACUAGUAGAGCAAGCAUCGCACUGCACUGCACACGAGACAUGGAUGCAGACGGUGGACCCGAGGAGGUCCCAUGACACACAUCAGUACCAUCCGCAAAAAGCACGAAUAGAUUCAAGCUGAUGUUUGCCAUUGUGCUAUUGUCUCUUGUGUUAAUAAAAUUGAAAUGUGGCUUCCCAGUA
Long non-coding RNA from Mesocricetus auratus (golden hamster), 548 nucleotides. RefSeq lists it as uncharacterized. The transcript has 2 exons. The record is from RefSeq and is a predicted model, not a curated record. Lineage: Eukaryota; Metazoa; Chordata; Mammalia; Rodentia; Cricetidae.